RNAcentral lists this ribosomal RNA (440 nucleotides) under uncultured bacterium. RNAcentral's name for it is "partial 16S ribosomal RNA". It matches the Rfam family "Bacterial small subunit ribosomal RNA", at positions 338 to 795 of the family's 1533-position model. The record is from RNAcentral.
CCUACGGGAGGCAGCAGUAGGGGAUAUUGGUCAAUGGGGGAAACCCUGAACCAGCAACGCCGCGUGAGGGAAGACGGUUUUCGGAUUGUAAACCCCUGUUGUCAGAGAAGAUUAUGACGGUAGCUAACGAAUAAGCCCCGGCUAACUCCGUGCCAGCCGCCGCGGUAAUACGUAGGGUGCGAGCGUUAUCCGGAUUGACUGGGCGUAAAGCGUGCGUAGGCGGGUUAGCAAGUCAGAAGUGAAAUCCAUGGGCUUAACCAAAGAACUGCAUUUGAAACUGUCGAGCUUGAGUGUGGGAGAGGUAGGCGGAAUUCUCGGUGUAGGGGUGAAAUGCGUAGAGAUCAGGAGGAAAACCAGUGGCGAAGGCGACCUGCUGGACUUUAACUGACGCUGAGGCACGAAAGCGUGGGUAGCAAACAGGAUUAGAUACCCGAGUAGUC